GUCGAACGAUGAUGCCCACUUGUGGGUGGAUUAGUGGCGAACGGGUGAGUAACACGUGAGUAACCUGCCCUUGACUCUGGGAUAAGCCUGGGAAACUGGGUCUAAUACCGGAUAUGACCUUCCAUCGCAUGGUGGUUGGUGGAAAGCUUUUGUGGUUUUGGAUGGACUCGCGGCCUAUCAGCUUGUUGGUGGGGUAAUGGCCUACCAAGGCGACGACGGGUAGCCGGCCUGAGAGGGUGACCGGCCACACUGGGACUGAGACACGGCCCAGACUCCUACGGGAGGCAGCAGUGGGGAAUAUUGCACAAUGGGCGCAAGCCUGAUGCAGCGACGCCGCGUGAGGGAUGACGGCCUUCGGGUUGUAAACCUCUUUCAGUAGGGAAGAAGCGUAAGUGACGGUACCUGCAGAAGAAGCGCCGGCUAACUACGUGCCAGCAGCCGCGGUAAUACGUAGGGCGCAAGCGUUAUCCGGAAUUAUUGGGCGUAAAGAGCUCGUAGGCGGUUUGUCGCGUCUGCCGUGAAAGUCCGGGGCUCAACUCCGGAUCUGCGGUGGGUACGGGCAGACUAGAGUGAUGUAGGGGAGACUGGAAUUCCUGGUGUAGCGGUGAAAUGCGCAGAUAUCAGGAGGAACACCGAUGGCGAAGGCAGGUCUCUGGGCAUUAACUGACGCUGAGGAGCG
RNAcentral lists this ribosomal RNA (679 nucleotides) under Arthrobacter globiformis. RNAcentral describes it as "bacterial SSU rRNA". It matches the Rfam family "Bacterial small subunit ribosomal RNA", at positions 61 to 755 of the family's 1533-position model. Lineage: Bacteria; Bacillati; Actinomycetota; Actinomycetes; Micrococcales; Micrococcaceae. The record is from RNAcentral.